This is a long non-coding RNA of Patiria miniata (bat star), 160 nucleotides long. RefSeq lists it as uncharacterized. Lineage: Eukaryota; Metazoa; Echinodermata; Asteroidea; Valvatida; Asterinidae. The transcript has 2 exons. The record is from RefSeq and is a predicted model, not a curated record.
UUAUAAUCCAAUCACCAGGUUAAUUAUAAAUACCCCCUGUGCGUGAAUUACUGAAAGACCACAGACUACACAGACCUCACAUACUACACAGACCACACAGGCUUAUACUAGGACCAGACCAGGCCAAGUACCCAUUUAAAAUAAAACCAAUCUCAGCCCA